UUUACUUUUUGAUCGUUUUAUAAAUUCCAAAAUUUUGUUCGAUAUAUCGAUGUUGUGCCUGGGAAACAUCGAUGUUUUUGCACCUCAGAGGAGUACAACUCUUUCACAGUUUUCAAAAUGCAUGUGGAAAAUGCAGCUGGAAAACAAUCGAUACCACUAUCGAUACUAUUGACUUUUUUAAAUUUUAUAAACAUCGGUUCUUUGGCCACUAUCGCUUGUUUUUAUUAUAUCUGUGAAUUGAGGACAACUGAAAUUUAUAUUUCCUUGGAAGCGAACCAUGGUGUUGGUUUGUGAGAAGUGUUGUUUCUAAAUGACGCUAUGCAUACAAGUGAAAAUGUAAACAUGCCUCUACUUUGGACUUCUUGUGCGAUACUUGCGGAAUUAUCGGAAAUGUUUCACAUGCAAUUCUCAGCAGUUCGAAAACUGUCAUA
Drosophila nasuta is the source of this 431-nucleotide long non-coding RNA. RefSeq lists it as uncharacterized. The transcript has 3 exons. Lineage: Eukaryota; Metazoa; Arthropoda; Insecta; Diptera; Drosophilidae. The record is from RefSeq and is a predicted model, not a curated record.